Molecule: ribosomal RNA, 471 nt
Filed under: uncultured bacterium
Lineage: Bacteria
Description: bacterial SSU rRNA
Rfam family: Bacterial small subunit ribosomal RNA
Source: RNAcentral
GCUGGGCACUCCUAGGGAGGCAGCAGUGGGGAAUAUUGCACAAUGGGCGCAAGCCUGAUGCAGCCAUGCCGCGUGUAUGAAGAAGGCCUUCGGGUUGUAAAGUACUUUCAGCAGUGAGGAAGGUGGGUAUGUUAAUAGCAUACUCAUUUGACGUUAGCUGCAGAAGAAGCACCGGCUAACUCCGUGCCAGCAGCCGCGGUAAUACGGAGGGUGCGAGCGUUAAUCGGAAUUACUGGGCGUAAAGCGCAUGCAGGUGGUUUGUUAAGUCAGAUGUGAAAGCCCGGGGCUCAACCUCGGAAUUGCAUUUGAAACUGGCAAACUAGAGUACUGUAGAGGGGGUAGAAUUUCAGGUGUAGCGGUGAAAUGCGUAGAGAUCUGAAGGAAUACCGGUGGCGAAGGCGGCCCCCUGGACAGAUACUGACACUCAGAUGCGAAAGCGUGGGGAGCAAACAGGAUUAGAUACCCUGGUAG